UCAUCGUCGAGAGGGUAACAGCCCAGACUACCAACUAAGGUCCCCAAGCGUGUGCUAAGUGGGAAAGGAUGUGGAGUUGCACAGACAACCAGGAGGUUGGCUUAGAAGCAGCCACCCUUGAAAGAGUGCGUAAUAGCUCACUGAUCGAGCGCUCUUGCGCCGAAGAUGAACGGGGCUAAGCGAUCUGCCGAAGCUGUGGGAUGUAAAAAAGAAUCGGUAGGGGAGCGUUCCGCCUUAGAGGGAAGGACCCGCGCGAGCAGUGCUGGACGAAGCGGAA
RNAcentral lists this ribosomal RNA (277 nucleotides) under Psychrobacter sp. NZS113. RNAcentral's name for it is "partial 23S ribosomal RNA". It matches the Rfam family "Bacterial large subunit ribosomal RNA", at positions 1005 to 1287 of the family's 2925-position model. The record is from RNAcentral. Lineage: Bacteria; Pseudomonadati; Pseudomonadota; Gammaproteobacteria; Moraxellales; Moraxellaceae.